RNAcentral lists this ribosomal RNA (492 nucleotides) under uncultured bacterium. RNAcentral's name for it is "partial 16S ribosomal RNA". It matches the Rfam family "Bacterial small subunit ribosomal RNA", at positions 29 to 507 of the family's 1533-position model. The record is from RNAcentral.
AGUGAACGCUGGCGGUAGGCCUAACACAUGCGAGUCGAACGGCAGCACAGUAAGAGCUUGCUCUUACGGGUGGCGAGUGGCGGACGGGUGAGGAAUACAUCGGAAUCUACUUUUUCGUGGGGGAUAACGUAGGGAAACUUACGCUAAUACCGCAUACGACCUACGGGUGAAAGCAGGGGAUCUUCGGACCUUGCGCGAUUGAAUGAGCCGAUGUCGGAUUAGCUAGUUGGCGGGGUAAAGGCCCACCAAGGCGACGAUCCGUAGCUGGUCUGAGAGGAUGAUCAGCCACACUGGAACUGAGACACGGUCCAGACUCCUACGGGAGGCAGCAGCGGGGAAUAUUGGACAAUGGGCGCAAGCCUGAUCCAGCCAUACCGCGUGGGUGAAGAAGGCCUUCGGGUUGUAAAGCCCUUUUGUUGGGAAAGAAAAGCAGCAGGUUAAUACCCCGCUGUUCUGACGGUACCCAAAGAAUAAGCACCGGCUAACUUCGUG